This is a long non-coding RNA of Prunus persica (peach), 683 nucleotides long. RefSeq lists it as uncharacterized. The transcript is spliced from 2 exons. NCBI's taxonomy places the organism in Eukaryota, Viridiplantae, Streptophyta, Magnoliopsida, Rosales, Rosaceae. The record is from RefSeq and is a predicted model, not a curated record.
AAAAGCUGGGAAAAUUUUCAGAUGCUAUGCUAGGGUGUAGUGAUCAAAUUUGUCCAGCUCAAGACUGGAACGACAGCAAACUUAUCCCAUACAUAUAAAUACAGUUCAGCCCAAUCUCGUCAAGGCCAUUAUCAACCUUAUGGGCUUCAACUAAAACUACCCAUUAGGAUUUUGAUCAGAGCAAAAGUCCAAGAACAAAUAUGUCUCCGUGAAGUCUUACUGAGGGCAGGAUUCAGAAGCUGUACAUGUAAACAAGACGACGACAAUGGAGAAGAGAGCACGGAGGCAAUUGGAUUGUAUUUCUCGUCACCUUGUAUUACCACCUCAAGCUAAUCAUGGUCUGCAGCAGGUGCUGUUAUUAAGUAAUGGGCAAGUGAAGAGUGAGGAGGCAGAGCCUGUGGUGCUGUUAUUACUGCUUUCCAGCCUCCACAACCACAAGUGCCAUGCUUGAGCAUCGUGUUGGCUUGUCUCCACCUAUGGUAUUUACCGAAAAAAGAGCUCCAUUUCUUCUAGGGUUUUGCCCUGUGUUUCGGGGAGCAUUGUAUAGAAAAAGACUCAACUCGAUGCUCCAAUUCCCGCUUAACGAAAGAAGGCCCCACCAAUCGUGAUGACAAACAUACAACAGUCGUAUUGUACAUGUACGUAUGUAUUUUUAAUAUUUUAUACACGUAAUUUUUUCAAAA